RNAcentral lists this unclassified non-coding RNA (350 nucleotides) under soil metagenome. Its description in RNAcentral is "partial contains 5.8S ribosomal RNA, internal transcribed spacer 2, and large subunit ribosomal RNA". The stretch from base 1 to 120 matches the Rfam family "5.8S ribosomal RNA", at positions 35 to 154 of the family's 154-position model. The record is from RNAcentral.
GAUGAAGAACGUAGCGAACUGCGAUAAGUUAUGUGAAUUGCAGAAUUCAGUGAAUCAUCGAGUCUUUGAACGCACAUUGCGCCCCCUGGCAUUCCGGGGGGCAUGCCUGUCCGAGCGUCAUUGCUGCCCUUCAAGCCCGGCUUGUGUGUUGGGUCGUCGUCCCCCCCGGGGGACGGGCCCGAAAGGCAGCGGCGGCACCGCGUCCGGUCCUCGAGCGUAUGGGGCUUUGUCACCCGCUCGAUUAGGGCCGGCCGGGCGCCAGCCGGCGUCUCCAACCUUCUAUUUUACCAGGUUGACCUCGGAUCAGGUAGGGAUACCCGCUGAACUUAAGCAUAUCAAUAAGCGGAGGA